CACGUAGGCGGCCUGUUAAGUGUGGAGUGAAAUCCCACGGCUCACCCGUGGAACUGCUUCGCAUACUGGCAAGCUCGAGGACGGUAGGGGAGAGCGGAACUCUUGGUGGAGCGGUGAAAUGCGUAGAUAUCAAGAGGAACACCGAUGGCGAAGGCAGCUCUCUGGUCCGUUUCUGACGCUGAGGUGCGAAAGCUAGGGUAGCGAAC
Molecule: ribosomal RNA, 206 nt
Filed under: uncultured bacterium
Lineage: Bacteria
Description: partial 16S ribosomal RNA
Rfam family: Bacterial small subunit ribosomal RNA
Source: RNAcentral